CGCGUAGGCGGCUUAUCAAGUCAGGGGUGAAAUCCCGGGGCUCAACCCCGGAACUGCCCUUGAAACUGGUUGGCUAGAAUCCUGGAGAGGCGAGUAGAAUUCCGAGUGUAGAGGUGAAAUUCGUAGAUAUUCGGAAGAACACCAGUGGCGAAGGCGACUCGCUGGACAGGUAUUGACGCUGAGGUGCGAAAGCGUGGGGAGCAAACA
This 207-nucleotide ribosomal RNA is filed under the name uncultured bacterium. RNAcentral describes it as "partial 16S ribosomal RNA". It matches the Rfam family "Bacterial small subunit ribosomal RNA", at positions 568 to 774 of the family's 1533-position model. The record is from RNAcentral.